RNAcentral lists this long non-coding RNA (3801 nucleotides) under Homo sapiens (human). RNAcentral's name for it is "long non-coding RNA NONHSAT217210.1". The record is from RNAcentral. Lineage: Eukaryota; Metazoa; Chordata; Mammalia; Primates; Hominidae.
CACCACUGAGAGUACAGAAAACACCUGUGAGAGAGGCUGGCAUCCAGGGCGGGAAACCUCUUUUGAGGGCGUGAACCAGGAUGUGAAGCAGCAUUUGAAUUCUUGCUGCUCUCUUCUGGAGCAGUGGGAUAUUGGGCAGUUCACUUAACCUCUCUGAGCUCCUUCCUCAAGCCUUUUUUUCCUGACUACAGCGAGCAACAGCUGUUUGAGAUGGUGGAGCACAUUCUUGCUGGUGAAAGGAAGCAAGGUCAACAGAGACUCAUAGAGGAAACAUUCAACAACUUGAACAGUAAGCAAGUUGCAGUUUCCGUCUCAGUGGACUGAGGUGAUACAGCAGAUUUUGCUGUGGACCAAGAUCCAGUUUUCCUCAUAACACUCACAGCUUUGGACCCCUGCACCUGCUGCUAUGCUACACUGGAGGAAACAGAGCUCCGCAAGACCCUCAGCAACUGCUUCCCAAGUACAUAAGAGGAAAACAAAACAAAACAAACCACCAACACACACACAUGUUCACACAGACACACACAUGUGUGGGAUAAGAGGCAGAGCUAGAGUCCAUUUUCCAGGUCAGACUUGGGACUCCAAGCCUGACUUUGGAGUGAUUCAAAUCACCUUCCACCUAUUUUGCUGCUUGUUCAGUUCAGUACACGUUAAGAAUGGCCCCCAACCAACAGGGAACUGGUUUGGUUAUCUUCCUUUGCCUUUCAAACUCACCCAAGCAAAGAUAAAUGCAGGUAUUAAAUGACUAAUCCAGAUCCCCAGCACCACAUCAAGGUAGGUGACAGAAGAUUAACAAGUUCCUAACUGUUCUUUAAGUGUAAUUUGUUGCAACGUUCUGAAACUGAUUAAUAUCCCCUCCCCUUCUUGCCCUGAAAUGAAUCUGGUGGUAUUAAAUUAAAUAAAAUAGUUCCAGUUUGUCCAUAGCUCCUCAGGGUUCCUCUUCAAAGCACUGGGCACUUUGAAAGAUAACUGUAAAGGUCACAUUUGUAAUAUAAGCAAGAACUUCUUAAACAGACAUGUAAGUAACUGCACAUAGACGUGACAUGUCAUAGCUCGAGAAAUCUUUUAAAGUAAAGUUUACGCCAAAUUAACUUCCAACAGCUCCGACUCUCCAGACCAUUCUUGGUACUCUUAAUGACAGACUGUGCAGCCCAAAGCCUGCAGCUGCAGUGUCAGGACAAAUUAGCCUAAAGUGGAACAAAAGUCAAUGUGAAGAAAUGUGGUAUCCGGCAAGGUCUGACUUUUGAAAUUCUGAGAUUGAUGACAUUUUAAAGGUGUAGGUACAACAGAAUGUGUUUUCCAUAUUUGUAAGCAAUUCUAGGUUCCUGAGCACUGAGAGAAAAGCAAAGUUAAUUUCUCACCGUAGGAGAAGGCCUUAUUAUUUUUGUGCACAUACACGACUGUCCUGUGAUCAAGAAAAGGCAUCUUUUAAAAGAAUCGUUUUGAAAUGUUUAUCUCUUAUUUGAAAUCCAAGAAAGAGUAGACAUUCAUUUCCAAACAGGACCAUAAAUCAUAUAACGCUGGGAGAAAGGUCAACACCACCAGCACAGCACAGUUUUCUCACAUAUGCUUAAGGAUUUUCAGAAUCUCCAAAUAAUAGCAUGAUGUAAACUUUGAAUAAAAAAGAACACCAUCAAGACUCCACUGAACAAAGAACGUCUGACUGGAAAUGCUUACGGCACCCUUCACAUGGUUGGGCAACUUUCCUCUACUGUUCCACCCCUUCUGCCUGUGCAGCUGCCAGAGUUAACUUAUCUUUAUCAGAAUCACAAAGGAACACUCUCCUGCUUAUUUACAAGGCUAAAAUGACAUCUGGUGGCGCUCUUCUCUGAGAACUCAGUCACUGUUCCUGGAAAAUGAUGCAAAAGCACAAACUUUUGCAGGGCAACUGUAGGAGUAUUCUUGUGCGUGUGUGUUAAGUACUAACUGCUGAUGUUGCUCAAAUGUUCCGCUAGUCCCUGUAGCCUCACAAUGUUUUAUUCAUUGUCCUGUGAUCAAUUCAAAAAAGCCAUCUUUUAUAAGAAUGGUUUUGAAGUGUUUAUCUUUUAUUUGAACAUCCAAGAAAGAGUAGACAUUGACUUCCACAGGGGACCAUACCUCCUAUAAUGCCUGAAGGUGCUUAAAAUAUAGUGAACUGUGUUAAAGUUAAUAGGAUACAUCAUUAGUGUGUUAAAAAAUGUAAAAUGGUGACAUACUAUCAGCUCACCUGGGUAAGGAAAAUAUGGCUAAAGUACCUCUAAAGGUAUCUACUUAUUAAGUAUACUGACCAAACUUUAGACAUUUUACUUCGACCACAGAAAGUAUUAUUUGAAAAAAAAAUCUUCAUUACAAAAUUACAUAUUUAAUUAGGAAGUAAAACCUAAAUCUGUAUUUACUAGCAAUGCCAACUUUAAAUAUUCUAGUUGCAGCUGACAACAGAAAUUCUAACAUGCAUAUGUUGUUGCAUAAUAGCCUCUUUUUCCUAGUUGGGUAUGUUUGUAGAGACAGAAAGGUCCCCUGACCAAUUGUGCAAUAGAGCCCCAAGAUACUUAAGCCUGGAACUACUCUCUCAGACUUAACAAAAUGUUCAUCUUAAUUUCUAUCAGAUUGGGACAAAACAUUCACUCUUUAGAUAAUAGAGGAGAGACUAAAGAACAUGUCAUAAUAGUCAAAUUUGUGCCAAUGUUAAAUCUAUCCCUUUAAAAACAUGUAUUAUUGUGAGGCCGCAGGGAUUAGUGCAACAUUUGAACAGAAUCAGCAGUUAGUACUUAACACACAUGCACAAGAAUACUCCUACAGUUGCCCUGCAACCAAGAAGCUAAUAAAAGAGCCAGGCUUUUCAAAUGAACACCUCGAUGAUGACACCAUUAGUUAUUCAGCAAAAAUAAAUGCUUCAUUAACUUGUCUUCCCACUGUUAAAGGAUAGGAUGAAUUUACCUCAAGGCAGCAACUCAGAUAUUAACGUUCCCUUACAUUUUAGAGCUCACUAUGCAGAAAUACCAGAAAUAAGGUGACUUAAAACUCAAUUUGUCUGUAAAAUACACUGGCCUUUGGAAUCCAGAAACCCACUUGGUCCUGACUGCCAAUUACUUGACCUUCCUUUUGUUACUUGACCUCUCUGGAUCUUGACUAAACUCAUUUGUGAGACAAGAGGAGAUGUCCAAAGUUUUUUCAUCUCAAAUAUGUUACGAUUUAGAUUCAACAAUUAUUUUUCCAAUUCCUACCACACACCCCGAAUACUGAGGUCACGCUGAGGUAUUAUUUGCCUAAGACUCUCGUAAAUGACUCAAUAAGGGAUCAACUCCAUUAGUGCAGUGGCCAGCAUUGAGUGAUCAGCAAAAAUAUCUCAUUGAGUAUUUCUAUGAUGUCACGGCUGUGCCUUUUAACAUAAUGUAACUUGAAUGUAUGCCUCUUAUCUAUUAAAAAAAUUACAAAUGAAGGAAAACAGCACAUGCCAACGUCAACACAUCUUUGAAAAGUUGCCACCAACGCUUCGCAUAAGAGGACUACUGGAAGGGAAGCUGAAUUCAGGGUCCUAUUAGGGUGAUAUUUGCGAGGCACUGUCUAACCCGAGAGAGUCCCGAAGCGUCCUGCAACAGGAAGAUGCCCUGGACCCAAUGGAUGGUCAGGAGAUGCGAAGUAACUGCCAGGGUGGCCUGGGCACUCCCAACAGACCACAAAUGUUGAUUUCAGAAUCUUUGGCACUUUCCAAAAUGUGGCUGAGCAGUAAUUUGGAAGCCUAAAUCCUGACUUUAGAAAUUCAUAAGAACAACCAAUGUUUUAUAAACUCAACAGAAAGUAAAAUAAACAAACCCAGGGUUU